This is a long non-coding RNA of Venturia canescens, 677 nucleotides long. RefSeq lists it as uncharacterized. Lineage: Eukaryota; Metazoa; Arthropoda; Insecta; Hymenoptera; Ichneumonidae. The transcript is spliced from 2 exons. The record is from RefSeq and is a predicted model, not a curated record.
GCUCUUAGGAUAUCGUUGGAGUUGAUUCAACAUUGAAGUAAAACAUUAUCCAGGAAAUUAUGAUUGGUCCAUAUUCGUAAUACUUCAAUAUCCAUUUUUUCAGGAGCACCAACAAAACACUUUCUCACGAAGAAUUUCUACAAGAACAGCAAGCUGGCGUAUUACGUCCGAUUAAGGAAAGUGCUGUUUGGCUCAGACGAUACUGUAAUCCAAACUCGAUUUUUACACAUGUUCAGGUGUGUGCCCAAAUCCAAAUUUAGCUGUUUUUCGAUUAAAUAUUGCUGGAACGUUUGCGAUAAAUCUUUCAUAAAAACAAAGAUCGUGACUCAAAAUAUGUUUGCAAAAUUUGUUUGAUCAACUGAAAGCAAUCUAUUCGUAAUAUUGAAUAAUCUGACGGUUUUUUUUGCAAGAAAAGUAAACUUUUGGGACCAUAUCAUCCCAAGAAUCUGGACGAUGAUGAAGAUUACAGUUCCGUAGAAGAUGACGGAUGAGAGCCACGCACGACGCGUAAGUAGAUCGAAGAAGAAGAGAUUUCAAAAGAUUUUGGAAAAGACGUCUUUUGAUGGAAUUUUUUAAAAACAGUAUUGAAUUGUGACUUUUGUAAUGUGUACAUCGAAAUGUACGCACGAGACUCGUUGACGGGUGACGAUGAAAUAAAAACGAGCGAGGGUACCGAA